GAUGAACGCUAGCGGCAGGCCUAAUACAUGCAAGACGAACGGUAAGUUGAGUAGCAAUACUUGACCUAGAGUGUCGCACGGGUGCGUGACACGUAUGCAACCUACCCAUAACAGGAGGAUAGCUCCCCGAAAGGGGAAUUAACCCUCCAUAGUAAUAUUGGAUGGCAUCAUUUGAUAUUUAAAACUGAGGUGGUUAUGGAUGGGCAUGCGUCUGAUUAGUUAGUUGGCGGUGUAACGGACCACCAAGACGAUGAUCAGUAGGGGAACUGAGAGGUUGAUCCCCCACACUGGCACUGAGAUACGGGCCAGACUCCUACGGGAGGCAGCAGUAGGGAAUAUUGGUCAAUGGAUGGAAGUCUGAACCAGCCAUGCCGCGUGCAGGAAGAAGGCCUUAUGGGUUGUAAACUGCUUUUGCCAGGGGAUAAAAUAGCUGUGCGCAGCGAAUUGCAGGUACCUGGUGAAUAAGCCACGGCUAACUACGUGCCAGCAGCCGCGGUAAUACGUAGGUGGCAAGCGUUGUCCGGAUUUAUUGGGUUUAAAGGGUGCGUAGGCGGCCUUGUAAGUCAGUGGUGAAAUACUCCAGCUUAACUGGAGGGGUGCCAUUGAUACUGCAGGGCUUGAGUAAAGUUGAAGUUGGCGGAAUUGACGGUGUAGCGGUGAAAUGCUUAGAUAUCGUCAAGAACACCGAUAGUGAAGACAGCUAACUAAGCUUUAACUGACGCUGAGGCACGAAAGUGUGGGGAUCAAACAGGAUUAGAUACCCUGGUAGUCCACACUGUAAACGUUGAUGACUCGCUGUUGGCGAUACACUGCCAGCGGCCAAGCGCAAGCGAUAAGUCAUCCACCUGGGGAGUACGCCGGCAACGGUG
Molecule: ribosomal RNA, 869 nt
Filed under: uncultured bacterium
Lineage: Bacteria
Description: bacterial SSU rRNA
Rfam family: Bacterial small subunit ribosomal RNA
Source: RNAcentral